UACGUAGGGUGCAAGCGUUGUCCGGAAUUAUUGGGCGUAAAGAGCGUGUAGGCGGCCCGAUUAGUCCGCUGUGAAAGUCCAGGGCUCAACCCUGGAAUGCCGGUGGAUACUGUCGGGCUAGAGUCCGGAAGGGGCGAGUGGAAUUCCAGGUGUAGCGGUGAAAUGCGUAGAUAUCUGGAGGAACACCGGUGGCGAAGGCGGCAUCCUGGACCGGUAUUGACGCUGAGGAGCGAAAGUCAGGGGAGCAAACGGG
Molecule: ribosomal RNA, 253 nt
Filed under: uncultured bacterium
Lineage: Bacteria
Description: partial 16S ribosomal RNA
Rfam family: Bacterial small subunit ribosomal RNA
Source: RNAcentral